CAUAUGAGACGUUAGUGAGAAGUUAGAACAAACGGACUUAAGAUGGCUCGAAGUGAUCAAAGUUGAUCUAAAACAGAAGAUAAAUCCAAAGCAGCAUCAGAUGAAUGUUACCAUUUCCAGUUACGGUGCCCUUCAUCUAAUAUGGAAAUGUGUUGUUUUUUUUUAGCCGUGUUGUUGUUCUUCCUAUUGUGUUUAGGCCAGAGAUGCUCUUCAAACAGCUGACAGACAUGACCACAUUACAAGAACAUGGUGUGAGUCCGAUUUGAUAUUCCAGUCAACGCUGAGAGACCUUAACCAGGAAGUCAGAGGUCAGCUGAUGCUGCGAGCAGGAAGUGAACCAAGGGAAAGACGGACAGGGAAUCAGUUGCUGUACGAUGACAUCAUCUUGAUGUUGACGAGGAGGGCGAGAAAAACUAGUUUUGUCCUGCAGAUGGCGAUCUUGCACCGUGUUCAGAGAGCCGACACUUUGAUGGUGCUGCUCUACUCAGCUUACUUUAGCCUGGGUUGGACUCUAUAUGAGCAGCUUCCACUCUGGUUUCACUCUUAAACACACUUGUUUGAUUUCACUUGUAAAAGUUGAAGAAUAAAUAUUUUAUUACAAAAUUA
Maylandia zebra (zebra mbuna) is the source of this 606-nucleotide non-coding RNA. NCBI's taxonomy places the organism in Eukaryota, Metazoa, Chordata, Actinopteri, Cichliformes, Cichlidae. The record is from RefSeq and is a predicted model, not a curated record.